RNAcentral lists this ribosomal RNA (253 nucleotides) under uncultured bacterium. RNAcentral's name for it is "partial 16S ribosomal RNA". It matches the Rfam family "Bacterial small subunit ribosomal RNA", at positions 524 to 776 of the family's 1533-position model. The record is from RNAcentral.
GACAGAGGGUGCGAACGUUGUUCGGAAUCACUGGGCUUAAAGGGCGCGUAGGCGGGUGUGCAAGUCUGUGGUGAAAGCCUCCAGCUUAACUGGAGAAGUGCCGUGGAUACUGCGCAUCUUGAGGAGGGUAGGGGCAUCUGGAACGGUCGGUGGAGCGGUGAAAUGCGUUGAUAUCGACCGGAACUCCGGUGGCGAAGGCGAGGUGCUGGACCCUUUCUGACGCUGAGGCGCGAAAGCCAGGGGAGCAAACGGG